CUGGCAACCAUUUCCACAGGACUAAGUCUCAGGAGAGAAGAAGCAGAGGAGUCACACCUAAGAUUUAAUUAUAAGAGUUCUGGAGUUCUACAGAACAUGGAUUCUCAGGACAAGUUCAUCAUGUCAAAGAAAAUAAAUGUAGUCCCAGAUGGCUCCUGAUACAUCUAUCCAGGACAUUCAGAGAUGAGAACAUCAGACGAAUGAAGCAUCUGAAGGUAGAUGAUAAUCCAACCUAUCAAAAGAAGAUGUCCCGAGAGGAAGGGCAAACUGGUAACUUGGGAAGACUUCAGGACUUUAACUUAUCAAGCUAAGACUUUGGGGAAACAACAAUGACAUUAUUAUACUAUUGACUCCCCAAAUGAUGUUAUUACAUUUAAUGGCUGUUAUUACAAGUUAAUUAUCGGCUUGUCA
Long non-coding RNA from Mastomys coucha (southern multimammate mouse), 411 nucleotides. RefSeq lists it as uncharacterized. NCBI's taxonomy places the organism in Eukaryota, Metazoa, Chordata, Mammalia, Rodentia, Muridae. The transcript is spliced from 3 exons. The record is from RefSeq and is a predicted model, not a curated record.